GGAAACCAUGAAGGGAGGAAAGUGCCCCUCCCAAGUCCGCACACGCACGCACGCACGCACGCACACGGCAGCCUGUGCUGCGGCCCUGAGGGACGCAGCGCAGGUUUAGGUCACCAGCUCAGCAGCCCUCCAAGCUCCCGGUUGAGCACUGAGGCUCCAGAAUGCGGCGGCCGCCCCUCCAUCCUGAGAGGCAGAGCCUAGGAGACUCGGCCUUCCUGGGAAGCCGCGCCCCACCUCACGAAGGCCCAGGGAUGCGCUCGGCAGGGGCCGCACCCGGAUCCUGUUCCUCCACCUGCGACUCGGCUCUGCCCCCGGCCCCUCCUGGCUCGGCCCAUGCUGCCAUCUCGGGGGCCUCCGAGGCGAGCUGCCUGGCUUUGGCUCCUGGGCCCCGGCCCUCCCACCCCUGCCCUCCCCGUGGGCCCGCCUCUCGGGGCCCUUCCUGCCUCUUCUCCCGGCACAGCAGCAGCUGCCGAGCAUCUCAGAGCCCGACACCCUGCUCCCGGGGCCAGGGUGCUCCCCGGGGCCCCAGCAGGCUCCAGGGCUCCCCCUGACGGCCAGGCUGGGACAAGGCGAGGGGGAGAGGCUUCCGGGGCCACCGCUCAGGCCCGGGGAGCUGGAGGUAAAGCCUGACCCCCCUGGCGGGGGCUAAGGGCUGUCUGAACCCCAGGGAGGGCUUCUCCCCAGAGACCUACAGACCGGAGCUCCGGGAAGAGAGCCCCGCGCCCCCCAGCCUGGAGCCCCUCAAAGCGGCGUGGCCCUCGCAUCCUCCCUAACUGGCGCAGAAGAUGGAGGGGUCUCCAAACUCCACCCUCCCUUGCCCACCUCUUCUCCGGUUUUGUGCCUCUUGGUGGCUGGACGCAAGCUGAGACUCGGAGGAUUUGAAGAGCAUCCGGGGCCUCUCCCCGAGUUGUCACAACCCAAAAUGUUUCCGGACACUGCUAGAUGUCGCCUGGGGGAGGGAGAUCACGCUCAG
Molecule: long non-coding RNA, 973 nt
Filed under: Heterocephalus glaber (naked mole-rat)
Lineage: Eukaryota; Metazoa; Chordata; Mammalia; Rodentia; Bathyergidae
Description: lncRNA (ENSHGLG00000046246.1)
Source: RNAcentral